GGUGAAGAAGCGCCGAGGCUGGGAGUAGGGGCCUCAUUUGAUGGAGACGGUGGGCUGGAGGCCGAAGGUGAUAGUGCUGGAGACUUAGCUUUGGUCUUGCUAGGGGCCGGAGCUGGAACCGUGGCAGGAGGAGAAGCCAAAGGAGCUGGUGGUGGGGUAGCUGGAGGAGGAGUAGCAGGAGGGGGAGAAGCAGGUGGUGGGGUAGCCGGAGGUGGAGAAGCCGGUGGGGGAGUUGCGGGAGGUGGAGUAGCCGGGGGAGGAGAAGCUGGUGGUGGGGAGCUAACGGGCGGGGGAGUCGCUGGAGGAGGAGUGGAAACUGGUGGUGGUGAUGAAGUAGGAGGAGGAGAGGAAGCUGGUGGCGGAGAAGUAGUUGUGGGUGUUGGAGGUGGUUGAGUAGUAGGUGGAGGUGUGGAAGCGGGUGGAGUCGGCGGCGCCGGCGUGGAUGUCGGAGGAUUACUAGGAGUAGGAGGAGCUUGGCCUAAAACGCCAGCUACAGCAAUGCAAAACAAAGCUGAUAAGAACAAAAACUUAUUAUUAAGCAUCAUAUUGGAAACAAUGGUGACCCUUUAAUCCUGCACACCCUCUCCGCUUAAACUACGCCCAGCCGUGCAAGCAAAUGAGGGAGAAGAAGAGGCAAGUAUGAGAAAUGAAAAGAUGGUGAUAUUUAUAUAUAGGAUAUGGAAAUUUCCAUAUCAUAUUUCAAUUUAAAAUCCCCAAAACAAAUACCAGCAUUUUUAUUUUAUUACUAAUGGGAAAAUUGCAUUACUAAUCAUAUACAAUAUUCUAUAUUAAUUUAGUGUAAUUUAAUUCUUUCAUUUUUUUAUAAUGUUAUUAAUAGGUCCAAAAUCAAUAUCUCCGAUCGUUAGUUGCUGUCAUUAAAGUGAUGAUACGAAAUUAUUUUUUUUACUAUUAUUCCAUCAUACAAUCAGAGAUAUAGAAAUCAAUCAAUUUUGUUAAACAAAUAAUAAAUUUCAAUCUGAGUCAAAUGCUUAAAGUUGUUAAAAAAAAUUCACGUCAUCACUUUAACAACAUCAACUAAUAGCGUUAUCAAUUUGUACUUUGUAGCUACCAAUAACAUUAUAAAAAUAAAGGGUCAAAUUAUAUAGAAGUAAAGGAUUAAAUCUCUAAUUUCAAUUUAGUAAAGGGACUAAAAUGGAAUUAAACCUAUUAGUGGGGGUCGGAGUUUUUUCCUCGUUUGGUGAGGUAAAAAAAAAAAAAAACCCUAGUGGGGCAUAGUUAUAAUGUCACUUUGAUGAUUAUAAAUGAUGCGUUAGUUAGUCAUACUUUAGGUAAAAAACUGUGAGGUGGGAUUAGUGUAGAUUGAAAAUUUUUAGUGAAGGGGUUAAUUUAUACCUUCAAAAUUUUGCAAUAUUUGGUAGUUCCAUGAAAUAUUCCCCGCUAUUUAUCAACUUUUCAAUCACUCAAAUAGGUUUUAAUUUAGUUUUGUUGUGAAAUUUCUAAUUCAAGCAUACAAUGAGUAGAUUUUAUUAUGGGUCGGGUCGGGUUAUUAUAAAAUUUUAGGUGUAACGUCCCGAAUUUUUGGGCCUAGAAGUUAAAAGAUUUAAGCAUAGGGGCAGUAAGGAGGCCACACAUAAGUGAUUAGUUGUGCACUAUAGUGAUAAGAAUGGGCUUAUUAGUCUAGUGGUUAAAUGGAGUGUUAAUUAAGUUCAAGGUUUUUGGUUUGAGUCACUAUGUGUACAUUUUGGGAGUCUUUUUAUUUUGUUUUUUUUUAGUUAGUGAUAAUAAUUAAUUAUUUUAUUUUAUUUUUAUUAUUUUUCUUUUCUUUUCCACGUUAGUUCUCUCUACUUCUUGGUUUUUUUUUCUUUUUGUUCUUUUUCCUUGGACUUUCAAUUUGUGCAUUCUCUAUGUUUUUGAAUCGUUUGCUUACAGAUUUCGAAUUGUCGCACCUCUAUCGUCUUCUUCGUCGUUCAAUCAGGUGAGGGAUUCAAACUUUAACUACAUUGUUUAAUUUUGCAAAGUUUACGUGCGGCUUUUCUUGAAUAUGUGAUAACCCGAAGGUUUUUGGGUUUUGAUCGUUGGAAGUGAGGAAAAUACGUUAUAUUGUGAUAUGUUCUUGAUGUGGUUAAGGUUAGGGACAGUUUGGGUGGCUAAAACGGUGUUUUCGGGGCUAAUUUGGGGUGGUUUCAUGACCUCUCCGGCAGCUACACGGGCGUGUGCCGUGGUAGACAGUCAUAUGGAUUUGGGAACUAGGGUUUCCAGGCCAAAUUGGAUGCCACACGGCCGUGUGGCCGAUUUGGGGAUUUUGUCGAAAUUCACACGGCUGUGUCCCCUAGGCACAUGGGCAUGUGGGUUUGGAAUUAGGGUUUCAGAGAUUUGAAGUCACACAGCCUGGCCAUACGGCUGUGUGGCUGAUUUUGGGAUUUAGGGAUCCCACACGAGUGUGUGUUUCGUAACACACAACCAUGUCUAGUUGGCACACGGGCAUGUGAGACCCUCACAUAGCCGUGUCUGCCCUGCACCUUAUUUUAGCGAAAUUGGACAGUGAGUUACACAGCCUGUUCACACAGUCGUGUCUCUGCUUCGCACGGGCGUGUGCCUAUGUCACAUGGCCGUGUGCUAUCCUUCACAAGGGCGUUUGAAGCCUCACACGAUCUGGAUUGCUCUACACGGCUGAAGCAUACGGGUGUGUAGCCCUAUCUCGCCAAAUAAUGAUUUUAGGUCAAAUUUAAGUGCAAUCGUGACUCUAUGUAUUCCAACCCUCGACUGAGCUCUAGUGAGGGUAUUUACGACGCUGAUCUGAGUUUGGAUAAUGUGUUAAUUGUGAUUGGUUAUGUGACAUGUUUGAUUCUGAACCCGGGUUAGCUGGGUGAGUGUGUAUGCAACUAGUUCUGUCUGACUGUUUGAAUACGUGUCAUUGAUAUGCGAGCUUAUUUUGCAAUUGCUACUGAAUUCAAGUUACGAGUAUACUUAAGACUAAUUUUGUAACUAACUGAUUGGAUGUGAGCGUCUACUUCUGAAUAAUUGUUUGAGACUAGUAUUCUGAUUGUGUACAUCUGACUGCAUACAUACAUACAUAUGCAUAAACUAUUUUGGGCGGGAUUUUUGAAGAGAAGGUGUUGUAGGCCAAUUUUGGGCCCGUUUACACUUUAGGCCGAACAUACAUCAAACCCAUUUACAAUUAAACCCCAGCAUAACCCACAACCCAAACCCAACAAAUAAACCCAAAACCAAACCCAAAUUUAACCCAAUUCAAAUCCCAUAGACCCAAACCCACAUGUAAGCCCAAGUUGUUAGACCCAACUAGCUUGAUUUAGGGUUUCAAAAAAACUGAAACCCUAACCUACCCCCAGCGCCGCCAACGUCACAUCGCCCAUGCCAGUCCACUUGCACUACCUUUGCUCCACUGUUCAACCACCACCUGCAAAACAAAAGAGCACGCAACAGCAGCGCAAAAAUAGGAAAUAGACAGUGUAUGAACAACAAAAUCGGCUAUAAAGCCGAAUGGAAACCAAUGUAAUAGAAAAUAUUUUCGGUUAUUUUCUUCAUCAAUACAAAAAAAUAGAUUUAAACAUAUACAAGCAAUAAUUCGGGGAAAAUCAAAACACUAGAAUAACACCAAUUGGGCAACCAAAACAUCAAUAUCAAAAGCCUAAGGUGAUUUAAAUCUUUUUAUUUUUAUUUAUUUUUGAAUCAUACAUACCUAUGUAUUUUCAUAAAUAGUAUAAUAAAAAGGAAAAUAAAAGAAUAAAAAAAAGAUAGGAAAUUUUUACCUUUUCCGGCCACCGUGCGACGGUGGCACACGGCGGUCCGGCAACCAGACGUGGACGGCGACCGGCCUUGUGGCCGGAAUUCGCCUCUCCUUCUCCCCUCUCUCUUUUUUUUCUUUGCUAUGCAGAAAAUGAAUUUUUUUUGAAGAUUUUGGCCUUUUUAUAGCUUCCUAAAACGACGUCGUUUUGGGGGUUGCCCUUUAACCUCAAAACGACGUCGUUUUGCCCUGGAUCAGGUCGACCCGACCCUACCCACUCAGGAUCUGAGUGUUUUUGCUCUUAGGGGCUAAUUGCGCACGCGGUCCUUCCGCUUUUUCUAUGUUUUUCAAUCAGGUUUUUUAUGUAUUUUAAUUUGGCCCUAUAAUUAGUUGCGCUUUCCAAUUUGGUCCUCAAUGCUAUUGCGCAUUUUGGGUGGAGAGGCUUAUUUCGUUUUAAGUCCCUCCACUAUUUGUGCGCGUUGAAAUAGGUCCCCUUCCCUUCUUUUUAUUUCAGUUUUUGCCCCAAGCCUUUUAUUUUUAAUUCGAUUCGAUCCUUUUUUUAAUUACUUUAUUAUUAAAAUUAAUUAUUUUAGUAUUAUUGUUAUUAGCACUAUUCAUGUACAUAUAUAUUAUCAUUAUUGUUACUAUUACUAUUAUUAAUCUUCAUAUUAUUACUAUUAUUUCUUUAUUUUUAUAUUAUAUUAUAUUAUAUUAUUAGUUUUUACUAUUAUUAGUAUUAGUUUUAGCUUCAAUUAAUAUUUUUAACAUGCAUAUUUAUAUACUUUUAUGUAACAUUAUUAAUAAUUAUUUUUUAAAAUAUUAUUAUUAUUUUUUAAUACAUGCAUAUAUAUUAUGUGUAUAUUCUUUUAAUAGACAUUAUGUAUAUAUAAUUUUAUAUAUUAUUUUUAACUUUACAUUAUGUAUAUAUUGUUAAUAUCAUAUUAUUCAUAUAUUCUAUUAUAUUAUAUAACUAUAUUAUGUAUGUAUUUUUAACACUAUAUUACGUACAUACUUUCAAUAUCAUUAUUAUUAUGUAUAUAUAUUUUUAAUAUAUAUAUGUGUAUAUUUAUGUAGUAUUAUUAAUAGUUGUUUUUAAUAUUAUGAUUAUUUCUAGUAUAUAUAUAUUAUGUAUAUACUUCUAAUACUAUAUAUUGUAUAUUUCUAAUACCAUUAUUAUUUAUAUGUGUAUAUGUGUAUGUAUUUAUGUAUCGUAUUAUAGUUGUUGUUUUUUUUGUAUCAUUAUUGUUGCUAAUAUAUAUAUAUCAUGUAUAUAUGAUUUUUUUUAUAUAUAUUAUGUAUAUAUCUUUAAUAUUAUAUUAUUUAUAUAUUUAUGCUUACAUAUUAUCUUACGUAUAUAUUUUUAAUAACUAUAUUAUGUAUAUACUAUUACUAUAUAUCUAUUUAUGUUGCAUUAUCAAUGGUUGUUUUUACUAUUAUUAUUAUUCUUAAUAUAUAUAUUAUGUAUACAUUUUUAAAUACUAUAUUAUAUACAUAUAUUUUUAAUACCAUAUAUGUACAUAUCAUUAUUAUAUCUAUUUUUACCCCUAUUACAUUUGUUAUUAAUAUUAGUAUAUAUUUUAUUAUACGUGUAUAUAUAUACUUUUUAAUAUAGUAUUAUUUUUAUAUAUCAUUAUAUUUAUUAUUAUACUUAUUAUUUUCGCUAUUGUUACUUAUUAUUUUAUUUUAAUAUUAUUGUGUAUUAUUUGGUAUACAUAUAUCUUUUUGUACAUAUUGUUAUUUUUUAUUAUACGUAUAUUAGUUUAUUAUGGUAUUAAUACAUUUUUACCUUUUUCUUUUAUUGUAAAUAUUAUUUAUUAUUACUCUAAUAUCCUAAUAUUAUAUUAUAAUACUUUUUAUUAAUCAUCUCAUUAUUUUGCAUCGUUUAUUUACUUAUGAAUUUUUGUUAACAUCAUCAGUUUUUUUUUAUCAUUAUUUUAGAAACAUUUUUAUUUUAAUAAAUAAUGCAACGUACCGAUUUUAACAUUAAGUUUGUGAUUUCAUCGCUAUGUUGGGUGAAUCACGUUGGCUCGUGUUAAAAACGGGACAUCCUUCAAAAAAACCAAAAACUUGAAAUUUCUCGUGUCUUGGUCGGAUCAUGAUUAAAUAUUAAAUUAAACUUGUAUUUUUGAAAAUUAAGACAACGCGUAAUUAACAAGAUACUAAUUUUGGGCGUCGUGAGGGUGCUAAUACCUUCCUCGCGUGUAACCGACUCCCGAACUCUAUUUUCCUCUGGAUUUUCACGUAGACCCAAAUUCGGCCUUCAUUUUUGUUCAAGAAUAAAUUUUCUUUUCUAAAAAGAAGAUUUAUUAGGUGUCUGAUCACACCUAGAAAAAAGAUCGGUGGCGACUCCUUUUCUUUUUAAAACCGAAAUUCCAUUUUCAAAUAAUCGCCUCAACUAGCGACCGGAAAGUGAAAUUUUUACGUUGCUACAGAAGGAAGAUUGACUGAACUGAACUGAUAGCUAAUAUGUUGCCCCUAAUACCCAGAGGGUCAUGGGCGGUCCCAAUACCCUGAGGAUCGUGGUUAAUUUGACUGUACUGCGGACUAUCGCACUGUACUGUACAGAACAUACAUCAGCACCGCUGCUAUCAUUGACUAAACUGGCAAUUUUACUGCAACCUAACGAUAUAGCGGUCUACCGCAUUGCAUUGUACCGCAUGUACGUUAGCUACGCUACGUACUAUUAUCUGAUCUGGCAGUUCAUACUGCAUGUCUGUACCGCGGUUCACCGCAUUGCACAGUACAACCUAUACGCUGGCUUUCCUACGUAAUUUACGUGACUAGCAGUUUAUCUGCAUACUGUUAGCCCAAAUUCCCAGAGGGUCGAUGGCAAUCCCAAUACCCUGAGGGUCAUGGACAAUGCUGAUGAUCAUCGUUGUCGGGUAACCCGGGAUGACAUCAUAUGGGGUGUAGGGUUGGAUGGGCUUUGCGAGGUCCUGUAUGGAGUGUUUGGUGGGACAAGCUUAAAGCUUUUAUGAGAAGUGAUGGGGGACGGAGAGGUGUGUUGGCUGGAUAGGUGGAUAUUUUUAGAACUCAUUUGUACUCAUAUGUAUCUGAUUGAUCUGUUUAACUGAAUUGGAACUUGUGAAUGGUUGAGAAUUAUUGCUACUGUGACUGAAUGUGAUACUGUUCGAUUGAGAGGCACUUGUGCCUAUGUGAAUUUUGUAGAUUCUGAUUGCGACUGUCUGACUGGAUUCUUACUGUGACUGAUUAAGAUUUGUUGCUACUCUGUCUGAGUGGUACUUGUGGCUGAGUGUAUCUAACUGAUUGAGUUAAAACUAGUGGCAGAAUAGCACUAUGUUUGUGUAGCUGAGUGUAAUUUUUAAUAUGCAUUAACAAAUAUCUGUCUGUCGGUACGUCCGUUUCGAACGUACCCUUUGGUUCUGAAUAGCUCUGUAAGUAUGUUUUAUUUCUGAACUGCUUUUAGUUCCCUGUUUCUGUCUCUGUAGUUUAACUGGUUUGAUCUCAAACUGAGCUCGAGUAGCUCACCCCCUCUUUCGUUUCCCUUUUCAGGUACAAUUCUGGAUUAUGUUGAUGGACUUGGCACGCGAAGGUCUCAGACAGUCUCGCAAACAAAUAAAUUAUCAGUUUUGUUUUCCGUUACGAUUUUGUUAUUUGGUUAACUUUGAACUGUAAGGCUUUAUAAUACUGUGGUACAGUUUCCAUUUUAGAUUUUCAUGCAUACGUUUAUUUUGGGUUUUAUAUUGAGUCUUACUGUAAAUUUUAUUGACUGAUUAUUAAAUGGUUUUAAACACUUUUGGUUCACUGAGAUGAGUUAUUUUGUAAAAUUUUCCUACGAUCACUUCGGUGAUCAAUGUAGCAUUCCGAAUUCGGUCUAGACUUUUAGGCCGAGUUUGAGGUGUUACAUUAGGUUUAUUUUUUAGGUUCUAAUUUGACUCGAAAAAUAGGUCUAAAAUUUUAACUAAACCCAGUUUAGAUAAAAAUAUUAAACCCAAGUCCAAACGUAUUAAACUUUUUAUAUUAUUAUUUAUAAAAAAACAAAUUUAAAAAAUAUAAUACAUCAAAUACACUAAAAAUAUUAAAAUAGAUGUUUCCUAAUAAAUUGAAAAUACAUUAAAAAAGUUUUUAUACUUAACAAGCAAAUGCCUUUAAAAUAGUAGCAAAAUUAACAAGCCCAUGAUUAGGUCUAAUGAUGAGUUCUUUUGUUAGUAAUGUUUAUUUUGGUAUUUGAGUUUUUUCUGUCUUAAUUUGGUACUUAAUUUUGACUUUAAUUUUUUUCCAAUUAAGCACUUAAGUUUGGCUUCAAUGUUCAAUUUGGUACCUAAUUUUUUUUGUCCAAAUUAAUUACCUAUAUAUUUUUUACCAAAGCAUGUGUGUCAAACAUUUAUUGGAUCAUAUGAUGACAUUUGGCUUAGGUAUCAAAUUGAAUAUCAAAUUCAAACCUAAGUACUAAAUUGAAACAAAAAACACAAAUACUAACUUAAGUAUUAAAGCUAAACUCAAGUAUCAAAUUGUAUAUUAAUCAUUGGUAAACAAAAUUUCAAGGAUUAGCAUCUACUAAGCUUUCAUUUUCCCUUUUGCAUGUUACAAUUGAUAUUUGUUUAACGCAUAAACUUGGUAUCUUUUUUCCCGUAAUGAUCCAUUUUCAACAAUUUUUGUACACCUAUAUUAAAAUCUGAAAUAAUUUGGUUAUCUUCAACAUACAUAAAGCUGUUAUAUUAAAGUUUAUUUAUAGUUGAGAUUUUUAAAGGAUUUUUAUAAGAUAUUUUUUACACAUUCUUUCCAUGACAUUAAGGAGUAGGGAAGAAAACGUGGUAGUGUUAAAAGGAUCAGUUCAUCUAAACAAGCGGAAAGUCAAAAUAAGAAACAAAUUAAGGAGGAGUAGGGGACUCACACAUCCAUAACAUAUGCAUAUGUUAAUAUUAAAAAUUUACACAACGCAAUUGUAAAUGGUGAGACUUGGACUUCGAUACUUAAAGACCCAAGAUAUCGCCUUAACCAAUAAUGUCAACAAGAUCUCAUUAACUUUUUAGGAAUUUUCUUAACUUCACAUAUAGGGAUUAAAAAAUUACGAUAUAACUCAAUAUAAUAUUAAAGAGUAAAAGUUAAUCAAAAUUUACAUAUAUCACUCAUUUAAUCAUAUGUGUACAGAUAAAAGGAAGCCACUCAUCCUCUUGCCAACCCUACGUGUAACAUAAUUCACUAUAAAUUCCACCUACAUAUACAUACAUACAUAAAUAUAAAAGAGAAUUUCAUGGUCUUGGACUAGAUUGGCUACAAAAUUUGACAAACGGCAUGUGUAGGAGGAUUAAAUUCGAUGAAUUGCAUGAGAGUUUCUCCUUUUUGAUAAUUUAGUACAUGAGAGAAUAAUGAUGAUUGUGGGGGGGGGGGGGUGCUCCAUCGAAAUAGCUGGAAUUUAUUUAUUUUAGUGAACUGGCAAAUGUAAUUUGUACGCCAAGUUAUAAGGUGAAAAAGGGAGAAAUCAUAUAGAUUUGGUUGGUAAUGGUAUGUUGAUGUUGGAACACCUGCGGUGCACCGCCACAAUUAGUAGGCCCCUAGCCCCGCUGUCACCCCAUCAUAUGUGCUUUUGGAUGGAUCCAACAUUUUCGUGUUCUUUCAUUCUUCAACAUCAUCAUUAUUAAUUAGUUACUCUUCAAUUUCUAUAUGUAAUUUGCUUUCUUUUCAUUCAUAGGUUUUCUGUUUUCUGUCUUUGAUUUUGUCUUGUGCACAACUGAUGUCCUCCAUUUUUUUCCCCUUUUGUAGAAUUGGGUUUGUCACUUUAAUAGUGCCCGAAAUUAUUUUAUGGAUUUUUUUCAUCAUAUCAUUUAUAAUCUAUUUUUAGUUAUUUAAUGAUAUUUUAGUAAUUUUUUUAUGUUAUUGACACAUAAUUUUACUAAUUUUUUUACCCAGAACCCUCAAUCUUGAGUUUAGAAUCUUGAACCCCGAACCUUGAACCCUAAACUCAAACAUUAAACUCCAAACCUAAACCUUAAAUCUUGAAACCCUCAAGGUUUAGGUUUGAGGUUUAAGUUCAAAUUCAAGUUUGUAGUUCAGGGUUCGAGGUUUGAAAUUUAAGGUUCGGGUUCAGGGUCAGAGUUCAACAUUCAGGAUUCUAGGUUUGGGGUUUAAGAUAAAAAAAAAUUACCAAAAUUAUAUGUCAAUGACAUGAAAAAAAAAUUACUGAAAUGUCAUUAAAUAAUUAGAAAGGGACCAUGGAUGAUGUGGUGGGAAUGGUCCAAAAAUAAUUUCUCAUUUGUAUGGGAUAUUAUUCAUUAUCUAUUAUAAUUUGAUAUCUCUAUUUUUAUAAUAUUAUUAGGGGAAAGGAUUGUAUGAAACAGUGACGCCAUGUCAUCUGUAUCCCUUUCCAAUAAUUUUAUGCCAUAUCAUUACUUUUAUCCUCAAUUUCAGGAUUUUAUCCUGAAAAAAAUCAAAUCCAAAUUAAAAUCCUGAAAUUCAGGAUAAGAAUAUUGAUGUGGCAUAAAACUAUUGGAAAGGGAUACAGAUGACGUGGCGUCACUGUUUCAUACAAUCCUUUCUCUGUCCAAAUUUAUAACAAUGUUGAUUGCUUCACUAAAAUGAGAAGGUCCAAAAGAGUUAGAAGAUGUUAUUGAGAUUAAUAAAGGAGUAAUUUAUUUCGAGAUAGAUUAAUAUAAUUUAUUUGUGUUUUUUAUUUAAAAAAAAAAGUAAAAGGACGUAGUAAAGGAAUUUUCAUGCAUCAAUAAUUUAUUAUUUAAACUAUGAAAUUUCAAAAAAGAAGAAAUUCAUGUUGAAAUUGAUACUAUCAAGCAAUUUAAAAGUGUAAAAAUUUCAGUAUCAGCUGGAUAUUUAAUGUCAAAUAAACUAAAGAAAUGAGAAACACAAGCCAAUUGUCCACAAUGAUUAACUUGUUCCUAAAAAGAAAGUUGUACAUAGACUUUGCUUAUAAAUCAAUCCAAUUUUUUUUUAUAUAAAAGGAAACAUAUUACAUACUUAUAUUGAGUUAUUUGUACCACAACCCACUUAAAUUAUGAUUUUAAUUUUCGAUUGAGUCUUAGUUCAAUUGAUAUUGGCAUUAUUAUCUGUGGAGGAGUGGAUUCAAGUGCGCUGAAACGCAUUAUCCUUCUAUUUAAAUGUUGGGAAGGAACUAUAGAUUCGAAAGCAGAUAUGAUAAGAACCUAUAAUAAAAUUAAUGUAAUGCCUCCUUUUUCCUUUAAAUCCUACUUAAAACACACUUACUUAUUAUUUGCUAAAAUAUUGACAAAUCUAUAAUUUGAAUUCGAACAUUUAUAAUUCAAUCUUGGUCCCUUUAAUACAAAAAAUGUUGGCUUCACCCUUGAUCAAUUUAGUCAUCAAGUUUUUUUUUUUUAACAUAAAUUUCAAUAUAGAUUCUUAUCAUAUUAGCUCUUUUUGAUACAAUGCUUAUAACUAUCCAUAGCCCUUCCCCAAUCAUUAAAUAGUAGGAUAAUACACUUUAACGUAUUCGAAUCCACAUCCUCUUCUACUGACAACAAUGUCAAUCAAUACAAUUUUAAAUACGAGUGUACUACUUAGAUAAUCAUAUCCAAGGUACACAUACUUUUAAAAUUUGAUCCACACACUUUAAAUAUACCCCACCUCUGAUCUAAUCUAGCAUUUAUCACCUAAGCUGACGGUUAGAGGAACAAAAGAACUUGAUUGAUAUAAUAUCAAUAUUUUAUAGACUCAAUCGUACCAUAAUUAUGGACGUUUUCGCUGAGUUAACUCUAUAUCUAAAUAAGUCAUGGUAAACAUUCAAUAUUAAAAAAGAUAAAGGGAAAGUAUAAUAACCCAAAACACCAAAUUUUGGUUGGUUUAAUUUGCAGCUUUAACCAAUGCUUUUGCAUGAUCCAUCAAUUAGUGAGGAUUUUGAUCUUAAUUGGAGGGUCCCAUUCGGUUAUUAAGCUCUUUUUCCACCCUCAUGAUUGCCAUAACAUGGGCCCUUACCGUUUUACUUUGGAUACCCUUUUAUCUUUGCUUUGCUUUGCUUUGAUUUAAGGUUUUAUACAUAAAUGGUCACUUAAACUAUACCUCAAUUUUUAGAUUUGUCCUUAAAGUUUUUUUUUUAUCAAGAGUGGCCCCCACACUAUCAAAUUUAUCUCAUUUUACCCAAAAAGCGUACAAUAUCCAAUAAAAAUAUUUAAAAUGUGACGCGUGUCACAUUCUUAUUGGUUAAUAUCAUUUUUUGAAUAAACAAAAAUAAAAUUAACAGUUUAGCGAUCACUUUGACCAAAUAAAAAAGUUUUAAGGACUACUUUAGGAAUUUAGAUAUAACUUAAGAGUUAUUUUAUUAAUAAAGCUUUGAUUUAUUCAUCAAUUAACACUGAAAGAGUUUUCCUUAAUUUACUCAAAUGGUCUUUUUGUUUGUAUCACCUAACAUUUUGAAGAACAUCCUUUCUCUGUGUACCUCAUACAAUUCGUUAAUACGAAAAUUUUAUGAUUUUUUUAAAAAUAAAUUUAAUUGUCACGUUGCAGGUUACAAAUACUUUUAAAUAAGGGCUUUUUUCAUACAAGAAUACCAAUUAAAAAAUAUCUUCAAAGGUAUAUCAGUUAUACUCAGAUCAAAAUGUUUAAACUUAAUUUAUCUAAUUUCUUCGGCAGGGACCUAACCCAAAAUUGGUAAAAUUAAAAUUAGAUCUUUAUAAUUUUGAAGCAUUAAAAUUGAAUUUUUUUUAAAUUGUAAAAUUAUAAAUUUAGCCCCUAAAAAAAUUAUAAUUCAACUUCAGCCUCUAAAAUUUUUUCCUCUAACUUCAUCUCCCCAUAAUUCAAUAUAUUUAAAAAAAUUUGUGACUGACAUUACCAACAAAAAAUAUAUUUAUAAUUAGUAUUUAAUAUACAAUUAAUGAAAUGUUUUAAUUCUAUAAGCAAUGUUCAAAAUUUUCAUAUAUCUCAAUUUUUAAUAUUUUUUUUAUUAAAUCAUGAAUGAAAUAUAUAUUACCUUUCAGAUUUUACUUGUAGAGUCUAAUAACUAUAUGACGCAUUAAAUCAUUAUACAUAUAUAAGGUCAAGUGGUCCAUAGGUAGCUUAGAGUACAAGGGAUUAAGUUGAGGGUCUCUUAUCAUUUUCCCCAAAUGUGAAGUGAUGUUAACUGCUUAGCUUUCUCCUCUUGCCCCAUUCAUUUUCCUUCCUUUCCACAAUAUAUAUUGUAUAAGUAUUUAUGGGUAAUCGAUUGAGUAUUUACUCGAUUAAUAUGAGUAUUAAUGUCAAUAGAGGAGGACGUAGAUUUGGCGCAUUAUUCUUCUAAUCAUGGGUUGAGAGGCUAUGAGUAGUUUUAAAUAUUAUGUCCAAAAAAAACAGAUAUGAUUAGAACCUAUAAUAAGAUUAUUUAAAAAAAUAUUUAUGGGUAAUCAGUUUAUACAAUUUCGAUUAAAUGUAUAAAUCCAAUCAUUAAUCAUUAAAUUGUUUUACUUUAUGCCAUAGUAUUGUUUUAACUGCAUAAGCAUGUGGGUUAAUGAAAACUACUUAUAGUAUCUCAAUUAAAUGUAAUCAACAACCUCAACUCAUAUCUCCCAUCUCUCUCACUCUCAAUUAUAUAACCUAUUAAUAAUUAACAUUAAUAACCCACUUUCAAGUAGAUCUCAGGCUACCUGCCAUGCCAAGCCUAAAGCUUAUAAGAUGCUUGAAAAGGUUUGCACAAAUAUACAAGAAUAAGUAGGAUAAUGGUUUGGGCAAAAAUUAAGCUUAAUUAUUUAAAUUAUAGAUUAAAUUUAUCGAUAAAUCAUGUUAAGCGUAAUGAUAAGAUAUAUUAUACUCUUAAGAAAAGAAUGUAGAUUCAAAUACUAGAAACGAUAUUGUUAGGAAAAGUAAUCACAAAUCUCAAACAUGAAUCAUAAAAUAAACAUAUAAAAUACUAAAAAAAAUCGAAUUUAAACUCAUUUAAAAUUGUUGAAACAUGGAUAAUUUAACUCAAUAUUGCAACAGGAAUUUCGAUAUAGUUUCUAUAAAAUUUAGUGUUACAAUAUGAUUUCCCAUAGAAGUGUGAUAAAAUCAAUAAUGUUGACUUGUAUUAUUGCAUUAAGUAGUGCAUGAAAUGUAGGAUUCUAUUGUAAAAGAGAAUUAGAUAAAAUUGUAUAAAGUGCAUACUAAAAACUGUUUUGGAGGCUUUAAAGAAUUCUAUUCGCUUAAAAGGUAAGAGUCUACUUCAUCAGCUAAGGUUUACAAUGUAGGGUAAGUGUUCAAUCGAAUUAAGUGAAAAAAUUUUGAGUUUAUCGAGUUGAUGAGUCCUAUUUUAUCAUACUAACUUGAUUUGAAAUUUUCUCGAAUCGAGUCGAGUAAAAUGAAAUUCAAGCCAAAUCAAAUCAAGUGAAAUUAUUUGAGUUAAAUUAAAAAAUUAAACAUGUCAAAUUAAAAUCUUGUUAUAGUAUAACUAAUUUUAUGUUAGAGCACAUAAAUUUGAAAUCACAUAUAUUUGAAAACUUUUUCAAAGUAAAAUAAGAAAAAAAAUAAUUUAAUAUAAUAAACUUAAAUUAUUAAUUAACUUUUAUUUAAGUCCCCAAAAUUAUUAUUUUAAAAAAAAUUAAAUUUUUAACUUUCUUUAUAUACUUUAUAAUUUUUUUAAAAAAAUAUAAAAUUUGGAAUUUUUAUAAAUAUUUUGAAUUUUAAAAAUUAUUAUGAAAAUUUUGAAAUUUAUUUUGUAUUUUUUGUUGAAAGAGAUCAAUUUGCUUUUUUUUUUAAAAUUAAUAGGGACCAAAAGGGGUAUUUAUACCAAUCUAUUAUUCGAGUUAUUCGAAUUGUAAAAUUCAACUUGACUUGAACUCAGAACUCGAAUUACUUAUUCGAUUUAAUUCGAAAAAAUUGAAUAAGAUUCAAUUAACUUAGAAUUCGAUUUUUAUUUUAUUUUUUUGAUCAAAUCGAGUUUUGUUCACCCCUAAUAACUUGUUAGCAACUUAUGCAAGAAUUUUUUAAUUUUAAAAUAAAAGCUAAUAAGAUUAUUUUAUCUUGAUAUUAAAUGCUAUUUAUACAACAUAUAAAAGAUGGUGGAUACACACAGUUGGGGUAGACUUUUUGAGUGUUUCAUUUUUCGGGUUGAGGGAAUAUUUUGCAAGGUAAAUACACCUUGAUACCCUAGGUAUUAUUUGGAGAAUUUUAUUCACUUGUAUGCAAAGAUGUUUGCAAUAUGUGAUAAUAUUUUGGGAGAUUGGAUGCAAACAAUUGCAUACUAGUGAAACUACUUUUUAUCUACAUUUUGCAAGAUAGAUACAUUAUAAUUAGAGGUGUCCAUAAGUCGGAUUGGAUCCAAUCAAAAUUUUAUACCCAUUUGUCAGGCUAAAAAUAUUAAAAUUCGAGUCCCAUCUGGCCCGUUCGUAUUAAUUUUUUUAUAUAAUUUUUUAAAAUAUAUAUAAUACAUCAACAAUACUAAAAACAUUAAAAUAAAUGUUAAAAACAUUAAAAUAAAUGUUCCCCAACAAAUUGAAAAUAAAUUUACAAAUUGAUUAAUAAAUUUUAAAAAAAUAUGUAUACUUAAAUAACACUAAGAUAUGUAUAACUUAACAAGCAAAUACCUCUAGAAUAGUAACAAAAUUAAAAAUAAAACAACAGUAAUACAAUAUCCAAAUAAUAACAAUAAAAUAGUAGCAAUAUAAUUGUGAAAUGGUAGCAAAAUAAUGAAAAAGAAGAAGAAAAAAAAGAAAAAAAUUACAAUUCUUUUAUUUUGCAUAUUCGGGUCGGCUAUUUUCUAAACGGACCUUAUUUUUCAGCCAAAAAAGUCUUACCUGAGGCUCAACCCGUUUUCUAAACAAGCCUUAUUUUUUUGCCUAAACACAUUUUUCGGGCCUAUAUUUUUAUCCAAACCCUCCCACUUUUCAGGUCGGGCCACAUGUACAGGUUUAACCAUGAUAUAUUAGGUAUUAUUAUAAACUACUAAAUACUAAAUAAAAAAUAACAUUUAAAAUUAAAAAAAUGAAAAGAAAAAAAAACUUAAAUGAAUAUAUACAAUGUAACAAGGUACAUAAACCUACAUUGUGACAAGUGUCGCAACUUUAUUUUUUUAUUUAAUUUCUAUAUUGUUUAUCUAUUAAAUAAAAUUAAAAUAAUUUAAACACAAUUUUAUCUUAAUGUAUUACAAAAUUUAAUUAAAAUAAAUGAAAAUUGUUAUUUGGAAUAUAUGGAUUUUAAAAAUAAUAAUAAUUUUCAUUUAAAUAAAUUUUACAAAUAAUAUAUAAUGCUGAUUAUAUAGUUUUAAAUAAUAUUUUAAUAUAUGAAUUGUUAUCUACAUAUUUAUUUAAAUAUAUUACAAGAAUUAAAACUAUUUAAUAACAUAUUCAUCAUAAAAUAAAACGAGAAUUAUAAAUUAUUAUUAUUAUUAUUUUAAAAUAUUUAUUUAAAUAAAACUAUAUGAGCAUAGGUUGUAACAUUCUACAUAUUUAUAUAGGUAAACCAUCAUGAUAAAAACUAUUAUCAUAAAAUUUUGCACUUUUUAUUAUAUGAUAUGUAUAAAAUAGUUCAAUUAGAUAUGAUUAAUAAUAAUAUUUAUGCUCAUAAAAUUAUCAAAUUAUAUAUUACAAUGUAUUUAUAAUGGCUCAAAUAUUAAAUAAUGGUUUACGGGUUGUAAUAUAUAAUAGUUCAAACAUAUUAUAAAUUUGAAAUAUAAUAUAUAUUAUAUUGAAUUAUUAUUAAUAGUAGAUAAUACUGUUAUAAUAAUUUAUAGUAGUAAAAGUAAAGGGUGAGCUAACAAUUCAGUGUGUAACUCAAUCCAAACAAUCAGCACAAAUACAGAUACAGUAACAAAGAUGAAUAUAGAUACAGAUAUAAAUCCUACUUCAUCCACUACACACCAUAUUUGUUCAUCCCUAGACAUCAAUUAGAGUAUUAAAUACUCAUGCAACCUUACCCACCUAGAAGUGAGCGUAUGUCACUUUUCAGAACAGUGCAAUCAAGCUACCAGAAAUAAUGUAAUAAUCCGCCAGAAUUAGAUAAGUGUGGUCAAGCCAUCAGAACAAAUAUGUGGUUUAAACCACCAGAUAAGACAGAUCAUUAAAUUGUUAACACUUCCUCCAUCAUAUUAUUAUCCCACCUUAAUGCAUAUGCAAACAUUAAUCAGGUAACAAAUGCAUAUAUAUCAUACACGCUAUACGUAUCAGAAUAUACUAUCAUGCUUUUAGAAAUUGCACAAACAGAAUAUUAGAUUUCAUAUCUAUAAGUCAUACAUAACACAUUAUGAAACCUACAAAGUGGCUAAUCUCGAAUCGUACUUUAAAUACGGCCUAACUAAAUUUUAUAGAAAAUGAGCACACAUGCCCAUGUGACCCACACGGUCUGGCACACGGCCUCACACAUACUCAUGUGGCCCACAUGACCCACUUAACUUAGCCCAUGUGGCUCACAUGGUCGUGUGAUUUACACGGUCUGGCACACGGCCAUGUGGUGUCGACAAUGAAUUUUUUGGCUUCGCAUCGUUCAUUGUUUUUCGAGAUUAUCAUUACAGACUUGGUCGUUUUUCGAUACUAACACCACGAAAAAGAUUCCAGAACUUAAAACAACAUUUAACACGAACAAUUUAGCAACGAUACACUAAAUAUAAUCCAUUAAUUCAACCACAACCACUAACAUUAGGCCUUAACAAGCUGGAAAUCAGUCUUUUGGGCAUUCGAUUACUUACCCAGAACAGUAGUGACAGUCCUAAAAAUCUCCUAAUUCACUAGAAGGAUGUCACAUGCCUCACAAACUUCUCCUAUUGAAACAUCAAAACAAUCAAAAAAAUGAAUAUUGCAUAAUACUACAACCCCUAUUCGUCAUACGGAAACGAAUUAACCUUACCGAAGAAUGCACUUACAAGACUUACACUUAAACAAAAAUAUGAAUUCUUUGCUCGAACACGGCGCUACGGUGAUUACAUGCAAGAAAAUCAAUACCACAAGGAUUUAAACAUUGGACCUCUAGGUAAGCUGAAGUUUUACCACUAAAUCAACAAGCUCAUUCUUAUCAUUAAUUUAGCAAAAAUAAUAUAUAAGCUUAAUAUCCAAAGUCGGUGGUUGGGACAAAAAUAACAAAAAUUUAAAUGAAAGAAUUUGAACCUAGAACAUCACACACACUAACACAACACAUAACCAAUAAACUAAAUUAAUCACUUUAACAAUAUUUAACAAUUCAAAAAUAAGAAUUUUGAGACGUUGCUAAAUUGUAUCAUAUAUCAUAUAUCAAACUUACGAUACAUCAUUCAUAAAAAUUAUAACAAACUUACGAAAGGAUUUAAUGAUAUUUAAUUCUUAACGGGUAAAAACUUAUAUCAUAUAUCAUAUAUAUUUAUAUAUUAAGAAUUUGAAUCAUUAAUUAUAUAUCUAUAUAUUAUAAUAGUUUCAUCUUUCAAAUUUUCUUCCUCAUAAUUAAAGCAUAAGUUAUAUUUAUAAUAUCAUAAAUAUAUUAUAUUUCAAAAAUUUACACACAUAAUCAACCUAUACAUCGCUCGUGAUAAGAAAACUAAUUUAUAAAUAUGAAUGUACAAAAUUCGAGCUAAAUCUAGCUUCAAUUUUCCGGUGAACUUCUUUUGACUUUAAAUCUUACUUUUUCUUCUUCUUUUUGGCAAAAUAACUUAUUUGGCACAAAAACAAAAGUCGUUUUAACUUUUUUUUUCACCAUUUUUUAGCAUUUAAACUUGCAUUUUUUUGUUAAAUCACUCCAAAAUGAAUGGAAAAGUUAACAUUUUUAACUUUGCUGAUGUUUCGUACAUGUGGAUAACACAUCAACAUUUAAUAAAUCUUAAAAAAAUUAUAAAAACUAUUUUUAAAAUUUAAAAUAUUAAUAUUAUAAAAAAAUAUAAAUAUUUUUAAAAAUUAAUUAAAUGCUGAUGGGUCAUCUACGUAGCAAUCCAUAUGUAUGUCAUGUCAACAAAGUUAACAAAUAUUAAUAUUUUCAUCCAUUUUAGGAUGAUUUAACAAAAUAUAUAAAUUUAAAGACUAAAGAUGCGAAAAUAAUUAUAAGACCAAAAUGACUUUUUUUUUUAAUUGAAGGACGAAAUAAAUGAUUAUGUAAAGUUGUGAAUAUUAAUAUUACCAUAACAAUCAUAAUUCGCUUAUGGUUUAUUCAUUUUUAGGGUUUUCCUUACUAGGAGUCUAGGAUACUUGAAGGCAGAUAUUAUUAUUAUUAUUAUUAUUAUUAUUAUUAUUAAAUUUAAACAUAUUUUUUUAAUUAAGGAACAAUAAUUUGGUCCGGGUCGGUCCUUGGACAGUAUUGUAAUUUCCCAAGUUAUUAACAUUUGUUUAGGGUUUCUCAUAGUUAAGAAUUAAGUGGGCUAAUUUCCCAACUUAGAUUUGAUGAUACGAUUAAAAAAUAGGAAAUAUCAAAAUAUGAUCAUAUGAAUUAUUAAUACUAGUUUUUUUUUAUCUGAGUAAAUAGAUAAUUACUUGAAUCAAUUUAAUAAAAAUUAAUAUACUAAAAAAUACAAUUCCAUCAUUUUAAUAGUUUAUAUAUUUAUAAUUUUUAAAGAAUUAAAUUAAUAUUUUAUCAUUUUAGGGAGUUAAAAUUUAAUUUUACUAUUAUUAAUUUAAAAUUUUAUAAAUUAUAUGUACAUACCCAAUUUUGCCAAACCCAAAUACAUUUCAAACCCUUACUAACCCAAGUCUGUUUACAAUAUUUUCAGCCCAAUUAGCCUAACCCAAGUACUACUAGCCCAAUACCCUAAAUUAACCUAGCCCAGCAGCCCAAAACAAAUUAGCAGAGAGGAAACCCUAAUUCCACUUGCCUCCUUACUUGCGCCGCACGCUCUUCUGCCCUUGGCUACCACGCCCCACUUUCUUCUGACACCAGCACUGGCCACCUGCUCCACCAUGCCUCUGCCACCGCCGUUCGCCCAUACCCUGCAAAAUGAAACAAAUGCCAAGACAGAAGCAGACAGCACAAGCAGUAACAGAGAAUAAAACAAACAAUACUUUAAUAUGGGAAUCGGCUAUAAAGCCGAAAUGGAAAAUCUGUAAAAGGGGGGAUUUUUGCUAUGAAAACAAAGAUUUUCUUUCAAUUUUAACAGAUUGAAUACAAGAACCAUUCGAAAAUACAUAUACAAUCAGGGGCUCUAACACCAAAUCGGAGAAUCAAAUCUAAAACCUAAGGUGACUUUUCUUUCAUUUUUUCUUUACUAUUUUGAGUUUGUUUUUUACACAAAAAUACUAAAAAAAAUAACAAAACACAUAAAAACAUAUAUAUUAUUAAGCAAAAAAAAAGAAAAGAAAAUUUACCUUUUCCGGCCACCGUGCACGGUGGCCGACGCCGACGAGUCUCCGGUAACCGUCCGGCGACCGGACCCCUGGCCGGAGUCCCACCGAAAAUCGCCCUCUCCCUCUCCCUCUCCCUUUCUUUUCUUUUUUUUCCUUUCCCCAUCCCCAAAUGAAUUUUUUUUUAAUUUUUAACUUAUAUAGGGGACCAAAACGUCCCCCCCUUUAAUAAAUAAAACGACGUCGUUUUGGACGCGGGUCGGGUCGACCCAACCCGCACCAGGGCAGGAUCCGCGUGUUUCUUAGCGGAAGGGAAAUUUGCGUGCUCGGCCUUUCCGCUUUUCUGAGAUUUCACAAUUACGUUUUUUAUGUUUUGUAAUUCGGCCCUAGAAUUUUUCAUCGUUUUCAAUCUGGUCUCCGUGCUGCGCAACGUUUAGAUAGUUGGGAUUAUUUUCAAUUUUGGUCCCUCCAGGUUGCGCGUGCCUCACAUUUUGAUCCCUCCUCUUUGUUUCCUUUUUAAAUUGACCCCACAACAUUGUUUUUAAUUUAAUUUUAGUCCUUUUUCGUUAUUUUUAUUUCCUUAUUAAAUACUCUUAUUAUUUUUAUAUUAUUAAUUUUAUUAUGUAUUAGUUUAUGUUUUAUUAUACAAUUAUAUAUUUAUAAUAUGUAUACACGCUUAAUAUAUUUGUAUAUACUUAUAUAAUAUUAGUACUAAAAGUUUUUAUUUUAAUAUGUAUAUAUUACCUAAAUGUUUAAAAUUAUAUAUGUACGUAUAUUCUUCAUUAUGUUCUUAAUACUAUACUUUACAUAUAUCGUACAUUUUUGUUUCAAGUUUGCUUUCAUGUAUUGUUUAGUCAAAAUUGUUUUAUUACUCAUUUUAAAAUUGUUUCACAUACUUUGCUUUAAACAUUAUAUCUCUUUCAUAUUAUGCACGUCAUUUUUAACUCUAUAUUGUAUAUCACAAUCUCAUAUAUUAUGUAUGUACUUCUCAUAUUAUUAGUUAUGUAUAUAUUCUUUACAUUAUCUUAUGUACAUAUAUUUUUCAUAUUAUAUUAUAUACCUAUCCUUUUGAUACCAUGUUGUAUAUAUUUUCAAUACUAUAUUACAAAAAUUUUUACCAUAUUAUGUAUGUUAUGUAUAUACGUUUUAAUGUUUUUGUAUUAUCUUAUAUGUAUAUUUUAAUAACUAUAUGAGGUAUGUAUUUUUAACACCGUAUUAUGUACAUAACUUUCAACAUCAUUGUAUACACACUUUUUAAUACUAUGUUAUUUAUACGUUUUUAUAGGUAUCGUGUACAUGCUCUAAAUACCAUCAUGUAUAUAGUUUUUUAUUGUUACUAUUAUGUAUACAUAUAUAUAGUAUCAUUAAUAGUUCUAAUAUCAUGCUCCCAUCACUUUGCUAACUAUUAUUAUAUGUUUGUAUAUAUUAAUUCUUAUUUCGCGUUUAAUACUAUUGUUAACAUAUUUAAUAUCGCAUAUAUGGCCAUUGUUUUAAUAUUCUCGUCGUAUUUAUCAUUUAUUUCAACAUAUUUCUAGCCCUUCCAUUUGUUCACUUUUAUUUCAUAUCAAUUUUGCUUGGCAUUUCUUCGAAAAUCUUAUUCUCGUUUUCUAAUUAAUUUCAAUAAUCGAGGCAACAUAUCGACUUAACAUUAAGUCAUCGAGUUCAUCGCUAUGUUGGGUGAACGUCAAUUGACACGUGUUAAAGCGAUAUACCCUUCUCAAAAAACGGAAUAAACUAAAAUUUCUCGUUUUUUAAUCGGAUCACGACUAAAUUUUACAUUGAACCCGAAUUUUUAAAAAUCAAGACAACCUGUGUUUAUGAGAUACCAAUUUUUGGGCGUCGCGAGGGUGCUAAUACCUUCCUCGCGUGUAACCGACUCCCGAACCUUAAUUUUUCUCUGGCUUUUAACGUAGACCUAAACUCAGUCUUUUUCUCGUUUUUAAAGAAAAAAGAAAUUUAUUAGGUGUUCGAUCACACCUAGGAAAAAGGAUCGGUGGCGACUCCCCCUUUUAUUUCAAAAUCGAACUUCAGUUUCCAAACUUUUUCACUAGAUCGCCACAAUUAGCGACCCCGAAACCAAUUUUUACGUCGCUACAUUAUAAAUGAGACUAAAUAGAAAAUUUUCUAUUUUAAGAAGGCUCAAAGACCUUGCCAGCCUCCUUGACUUCACCAUUGAAAUCUAGAAUAUACUCCUCACUAUGCUUUGGAAAAUUAAAGAUUUGAAAUUAUAUUAUUGUGUAAUAGAUAUAAUUAAUUUUUAAAUAUAUAAAUAAAGUUAAAGUUAAAAUUAAAUCACUGUGAUAAAUUGUAUAGAAUAUAGAUGAUUUAAGACAUGAUGCAAAUAAAACAUAGUUAAAUAAUUAAUAUAUAGCAUGCCAUAAUAAUAAAGGUGAAUCUAGAGGGUUCACAGGGCUUGAUUCUCCUAAAAUAGAAAAUUAUUAUUUAGAUUUUUUUAAAAAAUUUAAAAUUUUAAAUUAAUAAAAAUAAAAUUGUACUUUGAUUUCCCUAAAAUUAUAAAUUUUUUAUUCAAUCCUUUUAAAAAUUAUAAAGAUAUAAACUAUUAAAAAUUAAAUUUUCAUUUGGCCCCCUAAAAAAAUAUUCUGGCUUCGCCCCUGCAUGAUAAUAAUAUUAAUACAACACAAAUACACAAAAAAAUCAAAAUCUAUACAUAACAAUUAUUUACUUGUAUAAUUUUAUAAUAUUUUGAAUACAAAGAAAUAACACAAACAAUUUUCUCUAAAUUGAAUCACUCAAAUAAAAUAUUUUAAAUAUCUCAUGAUUUUAAAAUAUACUAUAAGGAUAAUUUUUUAAAAAUAAUUUAUUAUGAUAAAUCAUAUAAAUUAAAUAAAGAAACAAUACUAAUCCAACAUAAAAGAAAUGUAAUAAUAAUAUCAUAAAAAAUAUGUUCUUAGUUAAUGAUUUAGUCUGUACUUUGAGAAUUAGAGAAAACUCGAGUUCGAGAUUCAAUUAUAUAUGAGAAAAGUAUUAACAACCUCACAAUAACUUAAUACAUGUUGUUUUAAAAUUUUGAACCCAGUAUUUAAAUAUGAUCCCGUAAAAUUUAAGAAUGCAUGAAAUUUAUUAAUUAAGUGAAUUUGAUUUUGGAAAUAAACAAAAUACUCAAUUUAAUUUUAUUAUAUUUUUUAAAAUUUACUCACAUUAUAACAUUAAGAACAACAAAUGAGAGCGUAUCCAGUAAUUUUGGCAACAAUCUCUUUAAUUUUCGUAAUGCUAAAAUAUUACCUUUUUUUUUAAAAUUAAAUCGAUGUAAAGAAAUUCAUAGGUGCAUUUUCAUAUAAAUAAUUGAAUUAUUCAAAAUUACAUGCAUUUAGAGAUAAAUAUUUUACCCAGCACUACGCUUGUUCGACUCGUAAAAGGCAAAAAUUAGGAUUCAAAAUUAAAUUAUAAUUUUUAUGAUAAUAAAAAUUACUUAGGACAUCAUGUUCUCAAAAACUCAAACCUUUAUCAACAUAGAAUUGAAUCGAAUAUCGUUUUCAUCUUCCCAAGUUUCUAUACAUAAACUAUGAACACGGAAUUAAACAAUACAAAAAUGGUAUUCUUCUUCCAUUGACAUUUGAUAUCAGCUUCAGAAAAGGCAAAAGACAAGAAUAAAGAGAUAAAACAAAAGAUUAAAUCAAUCCUAUAUCCUUGACUGACAUAAUUUACCUUAAAAACUCUAUACUUUAACCAAUCCCACCUAUAUGAUUUUUCUGUUUUCCUAUACAUAACUUAAAGCUUACUUGGAACCAAGUCAUUGUAUUGUAUUUCAUGUAAUUUUUUGAAGCAGAUCCUCAUCUCCUCCAUCUGCAUUGAAGGAAUAGAUGUCGACCGGGGCCACCGUGCAACCCAUGGCAUUCUGCUUGGUUCUUUUAUUACAAAAGGAGCCUCGGUGUUUGUCUAGAUAGAUUACAAUCACGGUGAUAUCGUCGUGAAAAUGGCGCCUUAUCCCCUUUUUUAUUUUCUUGAUGUCACUGUAUCUCAUCUCCCUUUUCUUUGCAACUUCUUGAAGUACAGCUCUUACCAAUCUCCUGGCAAUACCCUGCAAGCAUUCAAGCAAACAAAUAUCAAUAAUGAAAUGCAUUGCAUUUCCAUAGGUUUCAUUAGGUUAAUGGAAGAACACGAAUACUCACGGCUCUCGGGUUUUUGAAAACGAUGUUUACAGCAGCUUCAUCACUCAACUGCUCCCAUAGGCCGUCUGAUGCAAAGAUGAGGAAUUGAUCCUGUGGCUUAAGCUUUCUAAUAAGGAUCGUUCUGCUGUAAUAACCGGCCUUUUAAGAGGAACAGGGUUUCCGAACUGCUGGAAGAUCGGAUCUCUAUAAAACUCAGGUUUCUUCAGGUAAACAUCACCUAUAGAUCUUGACACCUGAAAUAAGAAAAACAAAAAUGGCUUAGACCAGCAUGAUCACUCACAUGCUCAAAGAUCAUGUAUUAAUCAAUCAUCUCCAGUUCUACAAUCCAAUGUAAGAUAAAAGCUAAUGCAUCUUAUUCUCUCGAUUCGUGAAUGGAUCGAAGUAAAAAGCUCAACUUGCCUACCAAAGUAAAGGGGAACAACAUCACAAAAAGAGAAGAAAAACAUAAAAACGAGAGAGCAUCGAUUCCUUGCAGUUACAUAAGCCUAGCUUUAUGCUUCAGGGGCCUGCAUUUGUCCAUCUCAUGCAUAUAAGGCAUACUAUAUGGAAAAUAGCAGCAUGAAACAGUACUGGAAAUCAGACCAAAAUAUUCUUGGAAAAGUCGAAAAACUCAGAAUUAUAACCAUUUUUUAGAAUGAACUUCCAUUCUAAUGCACAAUGUAUACAUCCAUAAUUAUACCUCUCCAUCAAGCAAAAAGAAACAAAAUGGUUGCAAGCAAUGCCUACGAAGAGGAAGUUAAUUGGCAACUAAUUCUAGAAUCAACAUAUUGAUCAUUUCUCAAGCAGACUAGUUUUGAACUAAACGAUUAUAAAUCAACUUGUCAAUAAAAUUGUACCUGGAUUAUGCCCUUAAUCUUCCAAACUCCGCGGGUGUAAACGACUAUAUGUGAGUCAUCUGGAUGAAGUUCCUCGACCUCCUUUCGAACUUCCUCGACUCCAACAUUAUGAUCAGUUGACAACCUCUCUGCCACUACUGUGUUUUCCUUAUCCCCCGAAGCUUUCCUGCCAAGAACAGCUCUCGAGUCACCGAGAUUCGCCACGUAUAACACAUCAUUCGAAAUUGCACCAACUAGACAGCAUGAUCCAACCGAAGCAAUUUGAGGCCUCACGGACAAUGAUCGCUUCACCAAACGCAAAAACUCCUCUUCAGUGGCAUUGAAUGCCUUCUUUAUCACAUCUGCAGAUAAUCCCCCUUGUUCUGUAGCAAAUUCUACAAUGAAUAAAGAAAAAAAAAUUUAAGGGUCUCCAUCAAUCUUUUUUAGAAUCCAAGUGCAUGCUUAUCACUGAAAAGUGUGCAAAACAAAGAAAAAUAAAUGACCUGAAAAAUGCCAAAACUUGAACUACACUUACUAAUUAUUCCGAAAAAUUCAAGUCCAGACAACCCCAAGUAGAUACAAAUUUAGACAAAUAGUUCAUAUUCUCUUUUCCCAUCAAAACAUAGUGCUACAUGACUGUGGAGCGGGGCAAGAUAGAUAUUGUCAAAUUCAUUACUGUUCCAUUGCUGGCAUGAUCUGCCUCGACCCCACUCUGCUUCGCCAUAAAUGUUAAAACUUGAAUAUCAUUACUUUUAAUAUGCAUAAUCUAUCAAUACCUCACCUAAUAUAUACAUUUUUACUCGUUUUAAAAGUUAAAUAUAUAAGAAUAGAGCAAAUAUCAAAAUUAAGUGCCCCAUUGGUCCCUCUUUUACUGUUAAAAAUUAGAAAAAGAAAGUCUAUUUGGAGUCAUCAGUUCGAAAUCUAUCAAACUAAAUACAUAUUUGAUGAUUCCAUAGACAACUUAUGAUUUUCCUGACAAGGUCAUAUCUAUAUACAUACAUGAUCACAUGUUCAUUCAUGUCAUACAUACAUAGGAAUGUUGAAAUAAAGAGGGAAAAAGGGAAUUACUGUGGAGAAAAGGGAAGAGAUGUUUGUUAACAAAACGGGAAGCUUCCGGACCGCCAUGACCAUCGUAGACGCCAACGUAGGUAGCAAAAGGAGAGGUGAAGACUUGGCUUUGAUCUUCGAGACAGUUGUUAGCCUGCACGACGGCGAUGGAGAAAUCACCGGAAGCGUGGGGUUUAAGGUCAGCGUGCCACAUGAGAGCAUCCCCACCAGCUCUAACGCCAAGACAACGUUCGAGCGGCCUGGAAAGGGACCGUAACAUCAUCAUCAUCGUGUUUAAAAAAUAAUAAUAAUCCCUUUAUAGGGGAUUUGAUUAAAUGAAAACCUUUUCGAUGGUUUCAAUGGGGGGUUUCACUUUGGGGGAGAGGAAAAUGGAAAGAUAUUAAGAGGGAAAGAGAGAGUAGAGAGUGGGGUAAAGUGAAUGGAAAAGAAAUGCCGCGUAAAGAGAGGCAGAUGAUGAUGACCAACGACCCCCGAUGCUUGCUGUAAUUACUUCCCACUCUACGCGUUAACCACCCUUUUUCUUCUUUUUUGACUUUUAAACCCAAAUCCUUUUCUUUUAUUUUUAAUUUAUUGAAUGGAGACACUUAGGUCUAAUUUAAUAUUUCAAUUUUUAAAGAAUCGUAUCAGUGAUUGAAUUAUGUAUCUACUUAUUCUCGAUUUAAUCGGUUAGUUUAGCUCAAUUUAGGCCUGUUCAGAUUAUUCAACUUAAAAAUUUGUUCGAAAAGUGAGAUGAUUUAGGUAAAAAUAUAUGUUUAAAAAAUAAAUUUUAAUAAAAAAAUAAGGUAUAUUUUUUAAAUAGAUUGAGUCUUAAUAUUUUUUUGUUCAGGCUCAACUUGAUCUGGCUCAAAUUUGUAAAAAAAAAAAAUGUUGUUACUUUGUCAUUGUUUUACUGUCAUUUCGCUAUUAUAUUAUUACUAUUUUAUUGUUUUUGUUUAGAUAUUGUAUAAUUAUUUUUUUAUUGUUGAUUUGGCUACUAUUUUAGAACCAUUUGCUUACUAAGUUGCACUUAUAUCUUGGUGUUAGUUAAGUAUAAAUAUCUUUUAAAAAUUUGUUUUCAAUUUAUUGGGAAACAUUUAUUGCUCCAACUGACCUAUGGAUAGCUCUAGUUCAAUCCUUUUGCCCGAAUUGAUAUAUCAAUUGAUUUAUUGGUUCAACUAAUUCGAUUAGUUGAUUUUAUUUGAUUUGAUUCAAAAACACUAAGUGUUAUUUCAAGUUUAACUUAAUUUAUAUUUGUGUUGAUAGUUUAAAUUAUUUUAAUUUUAAAUCAUUCAAAUUCAACACUUAAUUUUUUGGGUCAGAUCGUUUUAGGACUAUUUCAUAUUAUAAUUUUAUAAAAAGGAAGUUGAACUGAAUAAUAUUUAAGUUUUUGAGUUGAAAUUCAAAUCAAUGUUAUUAAAUUGGGUCAUAAUUAAUAGGUGUACUAGAAUCUAAUUACAAAUAUAUAUCUAUAAGAUAAAACCAAAAAUAAAGGAUUAACAUCUGACCAAGUAUUGACAAUGCAUUGUUAUCCACAAAUUUAAUUAGAUACAAAACAAGAUAAACACUGUAAUGUGAAUUUCGUAUGUUAACUUAACGGUUAGGAUAUUCAUCGCUUCAAAUGUGAUUUGGGAUUGAGUCACAUUAUCUCUAAUAUGUCCUCUACCAAAGAAAAUGGAGGACUAAAGUUUGAAAUCUUAUUUAGUAUUUACAGCCAUGAUCAAUUUCUCUUUAUGAUCUCCACCCAUACAAUAAAUGUGAAAAGUGUAGCAGUACGAAUACCAUGUUUUUAUAGGGGCCGCCAUUCAAGAAUAUAUUACUUCCUCUGAACCUGACACUAAGGCAUGGAUAGCAACUUACAAUGUAUCAAAUUAAACACUAAAAUUAAACUCAUAUAUCAAAUUGAGAUUUAAAAAAAAACACUCAAAUACAAAAUUUGACAUUAAAAUCAAACGCAAGUACCGAAAAAUAUAUUAAUCCAUAUUCAUAAACCUUUUUCUUUGUUUUUGCACCCGUCAAAAUUCCAAGACUUACAUAUCUCUAAUUAAGAGCAUCAUCAUUUACAAAAAUUAAAAAAUUAAUCCCUCUACUUUAAUUUGUUAUAAUUUGUCCCACGUAAGUUAUAACAACCGAAAAGUUAAUCUAAUUAAGUAAUAUUGUUAAACCUUAUCAUUGAAUUGUUUGUUUGGAAACCAGCAAUUUAACAACUUAUAUGCAACAAAUUAACAAAACUCAUUUGUUCAAGUUCAUGUUUUGAAUAACACCUGGACUAAAUUUCCAAUUUUCAUAUGCUACAAUGACUAAAUUUUGACAAAUUAAAGUAGAGGGACCAACUUCUCAAUUUUCAUAAAGUAGGGGAUGAAAAUCAUAAUUAGACCAUGUAUAUGUUCUAUCGUGUGAGUUGGGGCCUGUUUUAUAGUAUACUUCUACAGUAAGGACAGUCCCCACACGUUCUGAGCCAAGGAUCUAAGCAAGCAAAGUGAAACCUGUGCCCACACGGCAGCUGAGUAAGCACAUCUCCUUCUCCGAAGCUUUCAAGGCAUAUACUGCAAUCUCUUGAUUCCCUUGAUGUCUUCCUUUCAACAUUGAUGUCUUGGCUGCGGAAAAUUUCCAGCGGCAAACGGUCCAGAGCCUCCUGAGUAAGUCCAGGAGGCUUCUUGUUUGUUUCUCGUAACAAUUCGAAUCUUUCUGCUUCAGAGGUUAAUGGGGAACCCCUAGCUGCCAACCCUGUAGAGAGUUCACUUAUGAUCCUAAAAUCAUCGCGCGUUACAUGCUCCCGGUGGGAAGCAUUAGGUGGAGCUCUAUUGCUUCGCCUGAAGAAAACAACAGGAAGAAACCGUAAUGAGAGGGAAAAGAAAAGAUGUACAAAAUGUUUAAAUAGCGGUUAAUGCAGGACCUAACAUAUAUGUGUCCAUUAUUGAAUGCCACGUGCAAGUAAAAUUCAGGAUCGAGUGGUCCACAUGCUUCUCUCAAGCAGUAGAUGGUAGUUAGGAAACGAGUAACACUAAUUCGCUGUGUACAUGAAGUGGUACCAAAAGUGGUCUGGAUAGUCAUAGUGGCUAAUGAUGUUACUACUUAGAACCUAUGUUACUCAGAGUCAGGCAUGAGUUUCAGAUAUGGAUAUGUAUCCAGUACAGGUAUAAUUACUUUUUCUAAGUUUUUCCAUAUAUUUAAAAGAUCCUUGGAGGUCAUAUCCUCGUAUUUGUGUGUCAGACACGAGUGUCAAAUGAAGAGUCCGAGCAACAUAGCUUAGAACCACUAAUAUUACCAUAGAAUAGGAAGCACCAGCAGUGGGACUGGACCAUAUUGAUAGUUAGCAAUGCGAGAACAACAGGCACUAAUGGGCAGAAAGCACCAAUAACAGCAGUGGGCCUGGAAAUUAAGGUACUACUGGUAGGUAAGGAGUGACGAAAGCAAUAUCAGCUUGAAUGUAUAAGCAGAAGUGGGACAGAAAUUUCAAGCAUAAAAACAAAAAUUCAAUCUAUUCAAGAAUAUAUACAUAUAGAGCGAGAGAGAGACUAAAUUCAACUUAAACAUUUUCAAGGAAAAAAAGAAAAAGCCUGCCGAAAUAUGAUGAUUAUGUUAGGCAAUUCCAUAGAAGAAAGUUCAAAUUCACUAGUGACAACCCACCCAACUGACCAGCUGAAAAGUCCAUGGUAAGUUGGAAAAUAGUUUGGACCGAGUGAAAUUAGUCUCAACAUUAACUGGCUACAACCCCUAACAGCUCUACCAUAUGAUACGGUAUCUCUAUUCUUACUGCUAAACCAAGUCAGACUCCUAGUACCCCUAAUACAAGACUACAUAUUUAUCAUUUGGAUUCACUAAUAAUAAGGUAGCACAAUGAACUGCAAGGCACUGAUUCUUCCUACAGGUUACGAUGCAAAUUGCUCAUAUGAUAGACACUUCUUUUGAUCAUAUUGCACCCUCAAUAGAUCCACAAAAUCAAAGUUCAAGAGCAAAAUCAUUCUGAAUUUAGGUAAAACUUUCACAGACACAGAGCUCCACAUGACUUGUCUAUCCUAUCAUCAAACUUCAGAAAUAAGUAAUAGAGAAGAGAUGUGCUGUGCUGUGCUGUCUUUAAAAAAUGAAAUUUGUGACAGACCAAGAAUAGUGGGAUAAAUUUGGUCCAACUUGAGUAGCAAAACAAAUUGAGUGCCACAGGCAAGUUCACCAUCAAUGAUAAAAGUGGCUUCCAAUUGGUGUCAAAGAUCAUGCAGAUAAGAAAGAACAUGAUUCAAUAGCUAUUAUAAUUUACUUGUUCUUGCAGUUUGACCAGUAAUAAUGCUGUACAUAAUACAUGGACAAGAAAUGCAAAUACUAAAAGUUGCAAAUUUGCAGAGAGCUCUAGGUAACCUGUUUGCAGAAACAGACACGCCUCUUAGUCUUUCAACAAGCCUUGCUCUUGCAAGCAGCACAGCUCCAGGAAGCCUCUCAUUUGCUCUCAAACUUUGCCUGCUUGAACUGCUUACACCAUCUGCAUUUAAUCCAUAGCUCGAACUGAGCUCACCAGUACCUUCAUCAAACCCUUCUCUAGCAAGCCUCUCACUUGAUCUCAAACUUUGCCUUCUUGCAUUGCUUACACCGACUGCAUUUAACCCAUUGCUCGAUACAAGCUCGCUGGUACCUUCAUCAAACCGCACUGAUGAACGCUCCUGAAAAAGUAAUAUCCAAAUAUAAGCGAUUCAGGCAAGGAGAAAUAAAUUACAUAGACUAGGUAAUAAUAUCAAACUUCCUUGUUUAUUCUUGUAUAUGUGGCAAAAUCUUACUGCAAGUGAGCUUAGGCUUUGCUUGGUACCAAAGAUGGAAAGGAUGAACAUGGAAAAUUUGUUCAUCAAAUGUUAAGAUUCAUAUCCACCUUAUUACUUUGUAACUUAACCAUCAGAUAAACAAUUUUCCAAUUCACUCCUUUCCGUCGUUCAUAACAAGCAGAGCCUUAGGGUUUAGAAAAAUUGUCAAGAAAAUACCUAUUCUUCAGUAAUUUCACUGAUAAAUUUAGCUUAAAACUAAUAAUUUUCAGAGCAAAGUUCAGUAUUGAAGCAUAAAACAGACAACGAAUAAAGUACCAAUAAAUUGGUUGAAAAUCCAAUUCUUAAAUUAAAAAUAAAAAAAUAAAUAUAUUUUCCCUUCCAAAAAUAAUACUUAAUUCACCCCCAUUUUUCCUUUAAGUUCUCUUUUUUCUCAGCAAUAAAAUAAAAACAAAUACCUAACAAGAAAUAAAUAAUUUGAAAAAAAAAAGGUAAAAGAGAAAUUGAGCGCACAGAGAGCGAGGAAGCACGGGAGCUGAAGUGGCGCACGUGGGGAGACCGGCGGAGGGAAUCACCGCCGUCCAAAUCAUGCCUCUGAUUGUGAUGACUGAGAUGAUUCCGGCGAUGGUAAUUCCGUUCAAUUGAGGACCCAAUCCCUGAAUCCGGAUCGGGUCGACCCACUCUUGACCUUCGUGUGUAGAAUAACUCCGAAGCGCUUGUCAUCCAACUAAAACCCCCAAAUGGUGUUUUGAUCUGAUCUUACCAAUUAAAAUUUAUUUUUAAUUUCUCCAAAAAAAAUUUAAAUAAACAUGCAAAUUGUAAUUUGGAUUAAGAAAUAAAGGAAGAGAAGCUGAUGAACCCUACGAAGAAACGCGGGAGAAAUUCCUGCGAAUGAAAAUCGAUAGCCUUAGCUUCAAAGGAAAUGAAUGGAAAGGGAUGUGCGUUUUUUUAACCCUAAAUGGUUUAAUUCCGGUUUUAGUCCCCCUCCUAAGCUAAAAUGUAAUAUUUAAUCUUAUAUUUUAAUUUUAUAUACUUUCGUCUUUGAUAUUAAAGAAUAAUAUUUGAUACACCGCAAAUACAUUAUCAUCGAACAAUAACAUGAUACUUGAGUAUAAACAAAAUUAGUGAAAGAAUUAUCAAUAAAUAUUAACAAUUUUAUUUAGUUUUUUUUUUAUUUUUAAAUUUCACAUUUCGAAUUUUAGAUAUAUUUAAAUAAAAUUAUUAAUAUUUAUUUAUAAGUCAUUCAUUAUUUUUUAUUUCAUUAGCAUUGAGGUGUCGUGUUAUUAUUCAUUAAUGGUUGACGAUUUAUUUUUAUUAAUUUUUAUCAUUAUAACGAUGAUGUGAAAUCUUUUAUUGACAAUUUUGUUAUGGUCAAGGUAGCCAUAAUAUAUGUUUUUUAAUACAAAUUCUGGAUAAUAAUUAGUAAUAUUAAGAAAGUAAAAAAAUUAAAUCAUGUUAAAUUAAUCGAGGUUUAAGGGUGUAAAAGCUCUUCAAUUUUUUCAAAAAAGCAAUUAAGUCUUUACUUUUUUCACUCAAUUGAGUACUUUAACUUUUAAAAUGCAUAAAAAAGGACCUUCAAACUUUUUCAAAAAAAAUUAAGCCCCUACUUUUUUUUACACUCAAUUUGGCACUUGAACUUUCAAAAUAUAUAUAAAAAAAAACCUUCAAGCUUUUUCAAAAAAAGCAAUUAAGCCCAUACUUUUUUUUUACUCAGUUGAUUGGGUAAUUAAAUUGUCAAAAUGCAUAAAAAAUAACAUUUGAUUGUUAACUUUAACAGUUAACCGUUAAAAUUAACUGCCCCUAAUUUUUUUCAAUUAAAAUCAUCCCGUGUCACAACCACAACAUGACAUAUGACAAAACAAUUAUAAAAAAUAAAAAUCAAUACAAGUUAUAAAAAGUAUUAAACUUUAAUAAAAAUAUAAAAUUUAUUAAAAUUGUAAAAUUUUAUAAAAAUCAUAAAUAAUUAUAAAAUGUAUCAAAAAGGCCCUUUAACCAUCAAUUUUUACCGUUGACUGUUAAAGUUAACGACCCCCAAUUUUUUUCUAAUUAAAGUCAUCACGUAUCGUAAUACAGUGUGGCAUGUGGCAAAAAUGAUAAAAAAAAAUAAAGAACAAUUAAAGUUAUAGAAAAAUUAUAAAAUGCUUGUUUAAAAAUUAUAAAAUACUUCUUUUGGUACGAUAAUUUUUAUAUUUUUUUAUAAAUUUUAUAUUUCUUUACAUUUUUUUAUAAUUUUCUUACAAUUUUUAUAAUUGUUUAUGAUUUUUAUAAUUUUUUUUCUAAUUUUUAAUAUUUUUAUAUUUUUAUUAAAAUUUAAUGAUUUUUUAUAAAUUUUAUUUAUUUUUAAUUUUUAUCAUUGUUUUGCCACAUUUCACGCCAUGGUUGUGACACAAGAUAACUUUAACUGAAAAAAUUAGGGUCAGUUAACUUUAACGGUUUGAUUAUUAAAUUUAACAAUCAAAGGGUCUUUUUUUUAUGCCUUUUGGCAGUUCAAAUACCCAAUUUAGUGUAAAAAAAAUAAAGGUUUAAUUGAUUCUUUUUUUAAAAAAAAAGUUUGAGAGUCUUUUUUGUGCAUUUUGACAAUUCAAGUACCUAAUUGAGUAAAAAAAAAGAACAAGGGUUAAUUAAUUUUCUUGAAAAAAUCUUGAAGAUUUUUUACACCCUUAACCCAUUAAUCAACCAACUGUGUCAUUGAAAUUUGAUGAUUUGGGAAAAUAUCUUGUGAAUAUCAAUUAGAGAAAUUAAAUCUGAAUUUCAAUAUAUUAGAGGGACUAAACCCAGAAAUUUACCGUGAAAAAGAAAAGGUAUAUCUUUAUGUGUUAGUUGAAGGACUAGUAUUUAGAUGUAGCCACGCGUUAAACAAAGUGUUCCAUUACAUCAACAUAGAAUUUAUUUUCCUUCAAUAAGAUUUUUUGCGUUGACUGUUGACCAUGGAAAAACUAUAAAUCAAAUUAUUAAUUGAAAAUGAUAUAUAUUCCUUCAAUGAGAAUCUUUUUAUUACCUUAAGUCGAGAAUUUGAUUCUCACCUUGUAUAUGGAGUAGUUUUAGAACUCGUAACUUAAUAUCUACCUCUUAAUAGACCUACAGAAUAGAAAAGAUUAGUUACUAUCUAACUUCAAUAAAUACAUUGAAAAAUAAAAAAAAUCGAUAUUAAAUGAAAUAGACAUAAUAGAUUUCUAAAGUCAACUUUGGUCAAUAUAAAUAGAAAAACUAAAUGAAAUUUGGUUUAGGUAAAUUUUGGGUUCAGAUUAAAUUUAAAAUUUAGUUAAUUUUUAUUUAAGUUAAUUAAGUUUGAUUGUAAUUUUUGAAGGUUUGGUGAUUGGGAUUUAGAUUAUUUCGGGUUAUAAUUACUUUGAGUUUAAGACAUUUUAAGUUAUUUAUUCGGGUCAUGUCUAAUUAUUUAUUUGAAUUGUUUCAAGUUUGGAUUAAUUUGGGUCGAUUUCAUAUUUAGGUUAGACAAAUCAAUUUUCAAGAUAUGAACUAGAGUUGUCUAUAAGCCAAGUCACCUAGUCUGGCCCGAAGGCUCGUCGGCAAAUAGGAGGAUUUUAACAAAAAAAUAUAUGUCCAAAAAUGAGAUUGGACAAAAAAUAAGGCUCGUUUUAAAAAUGGGUCGAGCCUCGGGUAAGGUAUUUUUUUACCCUGGCCUGACCUAGAUUUUACAAUAAAAAAAUUGUUGUUUUGCUACCAUUUCACUAUUAUGUUGUUUCAAUUUGUUGAAAAAUAUUUAUUUUAAUAUUUUUUGUGUAUUAUAUUUUUAAUUUUUUUUUAUAUAAAAAAAUUAAUAGUGUCAGACCAUACCCGGGUUUUAGUAUUUUUAUCCAAGCCAGGCUUGGACAAAAAUUUAAGCUCAUUUUUUUGGGCCAAAUUGGGCCCAAAAAUUUAUCAGGACCAACCUAAUUCGACCAUGGACAAGUUUAUAAAAUAGCUAUUUAUAUAUAAAAAAAAAAUUGUCCAUGAGCUAUUUACUAUUUAGAGUAUUUAAAUAUGUCGAUUGAGAUUUAAUUCUUUUUAUUUUGAGAGGUGGAAUAAAAUAAUUCAAUUAAAGUGUAAUGAUGAUAUACCUAUAAUGCAUUAUAUGUCCCAUUCUUCUAUCUUUUUAGGGAGUCAAUGAUUAUUUAUAGCUAUUAUCUUUAUAUCAAAAAAACAAUUCGACUCAAUAAUUAACUACUUUUGCUAGAUUGAUUUUUGAUUAGAUUAAUAUGUUUUUAGUCAAUUUAAAUUUUAAAAAUUUUCAAAUUAUUUCAAUUUCGAUUAGUUUUAACUUUAGAUCAAUUCUUAUUCAAUUAUAUUUUAGACUCAGAAUUAAAUGGAUCGAAUUAUCAGAUUUAAUGAUUUGUAUGUAAAAUUUUAUUUAAAAUAUUUUAAAUACCACUCUAACACAAUUACAUAAUUCAUAGAUUAUAUAAUUUGAAAUUAUCAUUACACACCACCAUUGAUAAUUUCAGCUUGUAAGUCCUAAUAUUUUAUUCAAAUUUCAUAAAAACCCUUCCUUAUCUCCAUGACUAAUUUUGUUUGAUCAUCACAUAUUUGCAUGGGAAUAGUGGUCAUCAUGAACCGAAGACUCCGGUUUAUCAACACCGUCGACGCUUCGAACCCAGAAACUUGAACCGAAAGAAGCCGCCCGGUCCGGAACGUCAUCCAUCACCCAUUCAUGGCCUUUCGGGAAAUAUAUCCCACUCUUUGGAUGUGGAACCCAACUCGAUGAACUUUUUAUAUCGUCGUUACUCUUGCACUUCUUAUUGAUCUCCCGAUCUGCGCCUGCAAUUUUGCUCAAUGGUCGCUCAACGCGUUUUGCUUCCCUACACCCGAAUAAAGUUUCCAAAAGUCAAACAUAUUUAUUAAGUUCAUAAUGAUUUGCCUCUAAAUUUUGUACUUUUGUAUGGUUUUUUUUUGGUAAAAAUUUUAAUUUUUGGCUUUUCUAAAUACAAAACAAAUUUCAAAUUUCAUUUUUGACCAAACAAAAACAUCUCAAAAUCAUGGCUCAAACUUUAAAACGAUCCCUAAAUUUUAAAAUGUUCUAAUUGAAUCUUUAAAAAUAAAGUAUACCUAAAACACGUUUUAAAUAUGCUCUACAUCAAACAUAAACUAACAUUUAACACCCAGAUAGACAGCGAGAGUGACAAAAAAAACUUGGUUAAUACGAUACUAAUAUUUUUAGGACCCAAUUAAACCAUUUUAAAAUUUAAUGACUAAUUUAAAAUUCAUUCUAUAGAUUAAGAAAAUCUGUUGUAAUCAACCCAAAUAAUAACGACAACAUUACGUACCUUAGCAUCAAAAUCUUGGUUUUGGUAAAAGCAGCUCUUCCCAUGCAAUGCAGCUCUUUAAAACCCCUCAAAAAAGGACUCCAAUGCAAUUAUCUAGGACUUGAUCGUUUGUUUUAUAGAAUGCUUUCGAAAGUGCAGUUUUUGUACUUCAAAUUGUAUCCGAACGAAUGAAUAAAGGUUUGACGAAUAAGUUCGAUUGUGAAGGUCCUAAGAAAAUUAAAAUUUUAGAAUAUUAUAUUUCGGAAUUUCGUCUUUUUAUUUUAAGAAAUUUAAUCAUUUUAUAUUUUUCGGAUUUAAGUAUACAGGUCCAAUUAUUAUUAAAAGUGAUUCGACUAAAAAAUUAAAAAAUAUUUCGAAUUUCAAGUUAAUUGAAUUGAGUUAUUCGAUUUUUUCGAGUCAACUAGAAUAAGUAAUUCGAGUUCGAGUCGAGUUGAAUUUUACAAUUCGAAUAACAGAUUAAUGUGAAUACCCAUUUGAUCCCUGUCAAUUUUAAAAAUAGGUAAAUUUAUCUCUCAACAAAGUUUACAAAAAAAAAUCAAAAUAAUUUUCAAAAAAUUUUAAAUAUAAUUUUUAAAAUUCAGAAUAUUUAUAAAAUAUCAAAAUUGAUAUUUAAAAAAUUUAUAAAAAUUCUAAAUAUAAAAAAAAACUUAAUUUUUUUAAAAAUAAUAAUUUUUGGAAAAUUUAACUAUUUAAGUUUAUCAUACUAAAAUAUCUUCUUCUUUUUUUUCUUAUUAUGCUUUGAAAGAAUUUUCAAAUUUAUAUGUUCUAACAUUGAAUUAGUUAUAUUGUAACAAUAUUUUAAUUUGACAUUUUUUUUUAAUUUCACUUGAUUUGGAAAAUAUUCAAAUCGAGUUAGAAUGAUAAAAUGGGACUCGUCAACUCGAUUAACUCAAAAGUUUUUCACUUGAUUCGAUCGAAUGCUCACCCCAAACUAAUAUCAUAAAAAUUCUUUUGUUAAAUUUAGAUUCGUUACAAUAUUAAUUUUUUUAUUUUAUGACUAUCAAAUUUGUUUUUUUUUUCUUUUCAUUUCAAGGUGUCACAGUAAUGAAUUUAAUAGAAUAAUUUUAACAAUAUUAACAAUUAAUUUUUUUUUGACAUUUAAAAAAUAAAGAAACUAAAUUCUUAAAAAAAAAACCAAAUUUACGAAGAAUCAAAUUGGAAAAUAAAGAGAUAAAUAUAUAUUUUUUGGUGCUUAUGUUUAUCUUUGAUUUUAAUUUUGCUAUUUAUAUAUUUUUUUUUCAAAUUGGUACUUAUGUUGUUUUUAAAUUACACAAAAUGGUAUCAAAUUUAUUAUCUGACGUAUGGAAUGAUGAUGUCAUAAUAACAUUUGGGAAAUUAUAAAAAUUUAUAAAAAAUAUGUAUUAAAAAUUCAAAAUAUAAAAAAUUAUAAUGUUUGAUACCAAAUAAAAAUAACAUAAAAAUCAAUUUUUUUUAUAUAUUUUCAUAUUUUUAUAAAAAGAGUAUCAUUUUUUUAUGAAAAUAUAAAAUCAAUUAUUUUUAAUAAAAAUAACUUUUUUAUAAAUUUUAUUAAAAAUUUAUAUCAAAAUCAUGAAAAUAUUCAUCAAGUCACAAAAAAGAAUUACAAUUUCUUACCCGAAAUAUAUAUUUUAUAUUUCCAGAAUUUUUUAGAUUUUUUUUAUUUAAUUUUUGGAUAAUGACAUCAUCAUCAUCACAUAUUAAAUAAUUAUUGGACCACAAAAUAAAAGUUAGCAUCAUUUAACUUAGGUACCAUUCUGUGUAACAGUAGUCAAACGUGGGUACCAAUUUGAAAUAAAAAAAAGGACCAAAAUGAAUAUUAAGAUCAAAUACAUGUACUAAAGAAUAUAUUUAUUUUUUCAUUAAAAUAGUUUAAAUUAAAUUAUUAUUUUUUGAGAGAAGUCAAAAAUGAAAAUUUUCAUUUAAAAAGAAUUAAAAUAUUAAAUUUUAGGAGGGUCCAAGGAACCAAAGCCUCUAACUGCCGUUAGUUUGCCAUUGUCAUUAUCAAUUUACUCGCCCUGAGAGGAGUUUAGCGGCGAAGCUUGGGGAUAAUUUGUGGCCUUGACCCUCUUAAAUUUAAAUAAUUCAAUUUAAUCUCUUUCAGCCCAUUUAUUAAGGAGAGGUCAACUUCUUUAAGAAAAGUUUAUGAAGUAUGAUUCAUUAAAAGCUAGCGAACAUCCCAAUAAAUCGAUAUUAUUUCAAUUGAAUUUUUUAUCUCCCAAUUUUACGAAGAAUUAAUGGGUUCACAAAAUGAAUAUAUCUUAUUAGAUGUCUAAUAAGACAAAUCACAUACAUCGCAUCGCACUUGAUAUCAUAUACGACAUCGAAAAGCUAGUAUAUUACCACUUAAACUAAACACCUAUUUAUUAUGAAAUCUGUUGCUUCGAAUAAACGAGAAAUAACAAAUUUCUCCCGAAAAAAUCGGCCCCUAUCGUUUCCUCUUUUUCAAAAGUAAAUCUUAAUUCGCUCAGGUGAUUUGGAAUAUUGAGAUUUUUUUAGUGAAAAGAGUGGCAAGUUGGUGUGACACCUAAGGUCACUUUAACAUAUAGCUCUAAAUUCUAGAGACACUGUGAAUCGUUACUUCAGCAUAUGCCUCUUGUUUUUUUUCCUUCUUUCACCAGAAUAUAUUCAAUGCAAAGAACUUAUCUCUUACACAUUUGAUUGUUGGUUAAAUUCGAGUUUUAGUCCCUAUAUUAUACUUCCUUCCUGUUAUCGAUGUUAUACUUUAGUCUAAAUCCAUAAUAUCAACACAACUCCAAAUUCAUUAUAUCAUUUAAACAUUAAAAUUAUCUAUUUAACUUGUGAUUUAAAUAAAAAUUAAAUUAUGGUAUAACCACGAUGUGGAUAAAAAAUAAAAUUAUGUGUUAAUUAUAUUUGUAAAAGAAUGAAAUUUUAAUUAAAACGAUAAAGUUUAAAUUUACUUUAUAAUGCAAUGAUAUUUGAGUCAUUAUCCAAUUGAAUUAGUGCCUAAUAACUCGUAACACCAAUUUAAUUAAUUAUGCACAACAUUAAGUUUUAUUAUCUUUCUUUCUUUAAUAGAUUACAGUCAGUUACUUAAAAAAAUUACAGUUAAUUAUUAUUUUAUAAGGUAAACUAUCAAAAUAGUCAUUUUUGUUUCUCUCAUAUUACAUUUUGGUCACUUAUGUUUGAAAUGUUAAGUUUUAGUCACUUACAUUUAUCGUAUUAUAACAUUUUAGUCACCGAGCGUUUAUUGCCGUUAGCAAUAUAACAAUAAAGCUGAUGUGACACGUUAAAUCAUCAAUUCAAACGAAAAUUUUAAGUUAAAUUAUACAAUUGGUCCCUAUUUAUUUUGAGCAAUUUAUUUUUUUAUAUUCUUUGAAUUUUCUUUUUUCUUUUUUAUUUUCCGUUCUCUUCUGUUUCUCCCUCUAUUUUCUUCCAUUCCCUGUCUUUUUUAACGUAAAUUUUCUAUGUUUUUCAUUUCUUAAAAUUUAUCUAUUUUUUUUCUUUUAUGUACUUCUACGUUAAAAGAUAUGGAGAAGUGGUGAAAAUAGAGGGAGAAGUAG
RNAcentral lists this long non-coding RNA (39298 nucleotides) under Gossypium barbadense (sea-island cotton). RNAcentral's name for it is "long non-coding RNA (GBAR_LNC012156)". The stretch from base 10034 to 10155 matches the Rfam family "MIR7504 microRNA precursor family". Lineage: Eukaryota; Viridiplantae; Streptophyta; Magnoliopsida; Malvales; Malvaceae. The record is from RNAcentral.